RNAcentral lists this ribosomal RNA (512 nucleotides) under uncultured bacterium. RNAcentral describes it as "bacterial SSU rRNA". It matches the Rfam family "Bacterial small subunit ribosomal RNA", at positions 36 to 518 of the family's 1533-position model. The record is from RNAcentral.
CUGGCGGCGUGCCUAAUACAUGCAAGUCGAACGGUCUUUCUAUGGAAGCUUGCUUCCACUGAAAAGAUAGUGGCGAACGGGUGAGUAACACGUGGGUAACCUGGCCCAUAAGAGGGGGAUAACAUCCGGAAACGGGUGCUAAUACCGCAUAGUUUUCUUGAUCGCAUGAUCGGGAAAGGAAAGACGGCCUUUGUGCUGUCGCUUAUGGAUGGACCCGCGGCGUAUUAGUUAGUUGGUGAGGUAACGGCUCACCAAGACGAUGAUACGUAGCCGACCUGAGAGGGUGAUCGGCCACAUUGGGACUGAGACACGGCCCAAACUCCUACGGGAGGCAGCAGUAGGGAAUCUUCCGCAAUGGACGAAAGUCUGACGGAGCAACGCCGCGUGAGUGAAGAAGGUUUUUACCGGAUCGUAAAACUCUGUUGUCAGAGAAGAACAAGUUGGAGAGUAACUGCUCCAGCCUUGACGGUAUCUGACCAGAAAGCCACGGCUAACUACGUGCCAGCAGCAGC